GACGAACGCUGGAGGCGUGCUUAACACAUGCAAGUCGAGCGAUGAAGUUCUUUCGGGAAUGGAUUAGCGGCGGACGGGUGAGUAACACGUGGGUAACCUGCCUCAUAGAGGGGAAUAGCCUUCCGAACGGAAGAUUAAUACCGCAUAAGAUUGUAGUUUCGCAUGAAACAGCAAUUAAAGGAGCAAUCCGCUAUGUGAUGGACCCGCGUCGCAUUAGCUAGUUGGUGAGGUAACGGCUCACGAAGGCGACGAUGCGUAGGCGACCUGAGAGGGUGAUCGGCCACAUUGGGACUGAGACACGGCCCAGACUCCUACGGGAGGCAGCAGUGGGGAAUAUUGCACAAUGGGGGAAACCCUGAUGCAGCAACGCCGCGUGAGUGAUGACGGUCUUCGGAUUGUAAAACUCUGUCUUCAGGGACGAUAAUGACGGUACCUGAGGAGGAAGCCACGGCUAACUAUGUGCCAGCCGCCGCGAUAA
Molecule: ribosomal RNA, 478 nt
Filed under: uncultured bacterium
Lineage: Bacteria
Description: partial 16S ribosomal RNA
Rfam family: Bacterial small subunit ribosomal RNA
Source: RNAcentral